RNAcentral lists this ribosomal RNA (1574 nucleotides) under Salmonella enterica. RNAcentral's name for it is "partial 23S ribosomal RNA". It matches the Rfam family "Bacterial large subunit ribosomal RNA", at positions 1373 to 2925 of the family's 2925-position model. The record is from RNAcentral. Lineage: Bacteria; Pseudomonadati; Pseudomonadota; Gammaproteobacteria; Enterobacterales; Enterobacteriaceae.
GGCAGGGUGAGUCGACCCCUAAGGCGAGGCCGAAAGGCGUAGUCGAUGGGAAACGGGUUAAUAUUCCCGUACUUGGUGUUACUGCGAAGGGGGGACGGAGAAGGCUAUGUUGGCCGGGCGACGGUUGUCCCGGUUUAAGCGUGUAGGUGUGUGUUCCAGGUAAAUCCGGUUCACUUUAACACUGAGGCGUGACGACGAGGCACUACGGUGCUGAAGCAACAAAUGCCCUGCUUCCAGGAAAAGCCUCUAAGCAUCAGGUAACAUCAAAUCGUACCCCAAACCGACACAGGUGGUCAGGUAGAGAAUACCAAGGCGCUUGAGAGAACUCGGGUGAAGGAACUAGGCAAAAUGGUGCCGUAACUUCGGGAGAAGGCACGCUGACACGUAGGUGAAGUGAUUUACUCACGGAGCUGAAGUCAGUCGAAGAUACCAGCUGGCUGCAACUGUUUAUUAAAAACACAGCACUGUGCAAACACGAAAGUGGACGUAUACGGUGUGACGCCUGCCCGGUGCCGGAAGGUUAAUUGAUGGGGUCAGCGCAAGCGAAGCUCCUGAUCGAAGCCCCGGUAAACGGCGGCCGUAACUAUAACGGUCCUAAGGUAGCGAAAUUCCUUGUCGGGUAAGUUCCGACCUGCACGAAUGGCGUAAUGAUGGCCAGGCUGUCUCCACCCGAGACUCAGUGAAAUUGAACUCGCUGUGAAGAUGCAGUGUACCCGCGGCAAGACGGAAAGACCCCGUGAACCUUUACUAUAGCUUGACACUGAACAUUGAGCCUUGAUGUGUAGGAUAGGUGGGAGGCUUUGAAGCGUGGACGCCAGUCUGCGUGGAGCCGACCUUGAAAUACCACCCUUUAAUGUUUGAUGUUCUAACGUGGACCCGUGAUCCGGGUUGCGGACAGUGUCUGGUGGGUAGUUUGACUGGGGCGGUCUCCUCCUAAAGAGUAACGGAGGAGCACGAAGGUUGGCUAAUCCUGGUCGGACAUCAGGAGGUUAGUGCAAUGGCAUAAGCCAGCUUGACUGCGAGCGUGACGGCGCGAGCAGGUGCGAAAGCAGGUCAUAGUGAUCCGGUGGUUCUGAAUGGAAGGGCCAUCGCUCAACGGAUAAAAGGUACUCCGGGGAUAACAGGCUGAUACCGCCCAAGAGUUCAUAUCGACGGCGGUGUUUGGCACCUCGAUGUCGGCUCAUCACAUCCUGGGGCUGAAGUAGGUCCCAAGGGUAUGGCUGUUCGCCAUUUAAAGUGGUACGCGAGCUGGGUUUAGAACGUCGUGAGACAGUUCGGUCCCUAUCUGCCGUGGGCGCUGGAGAACUGAGGGGGGCUGCUCCUAGUACGAGAGGACCGGAGUGGACGCAUCACUGGUGUUCGGGUUGUCAUGCCAAUGGCACUGCCCGGUAGCUAAAUGCGGAAGAGAUAAGUGCUGAAAGCAUCUAAGCACGAAACUUGCCCCGAGAUGAGUUCUCCCUGAGACUUAAAGUCUCCUGAAGGAACGUUGAAGACGACGACGUUGAUAGGCCGGGUGUGUAAGCGCAGCGAUGCGUUGAGCUAACCGGUACUAAUGAACCGUGAGGCUUAACCUU